Molecule: ribosomal RNA, 442 nt
Filed under: uncultured bacterium
Lineage: Bacteria
Description: bacterial SSU rRNA
Rfam family: Bacterial small subunit ribosomal RNA
Source: RNAcentral
UGGCUCAGAGCGAACGCUGGCGGCAGGCUUAACACAUGCAAGUCGAACGGGCGUAGCAAUACGUCAGUGGCAGACGGGUGAGUAACACGUGGGAACGUACCCUUUGGUUCGGAACAACACAGGGAAACUUGUGCUAAUACCGGAUAAGCCCUUACGGGGAAAGAUUUAUCGCCGAAGGAUCGGCCCGCGUCUGAUUAGCUUGUGGUGAGGUAAUGGCUCACCAAGGCGACGAUCAGUAGCUGGUCUGAGAGGAUGAUCAGCCACACUGGGACUGAGACACGGCCCAGACUCCUACGGGAGGCAGCAGUGGGGAAUAUUGGACAAUGGGCGCAAGCCUGAUCCAGCCAUGCCGCGUGAGUGAUGAAGGCCCUAGGGUUGUAAAGCUCUUUUGGCGGGGAAGAUAAUGACGGUACCCGCAGAAUAAGCCCCGGCUAACUUCGUG